Molecule: unclassified non-coding RNA, 74 nt
Filed under: Clavaria aff. zollingeri PBM3386
Lineage: Eukaryota; Fungi; Basidiomycota; Agaricomycetes; Agaricales; Clavariaceae
Description: partial internal transcribe spacer 1
Source: RNAcentral
UCCUUCCUUGUUCUCUGCCUAUGCUUUUUAUACACACCAAACUAAAAGUUAAAGAAUGCAAAUUAAAUUUAAUA